GUCUACAGCCAUACCACCCUGAACGCACCUGAUCUCAGAAGCUAAGCAGGGUCGGGCCUGGUUAGUACUUGGGUGGGAGAGGAAGAACCAGGAAAAGGAGACA
This 103-nucleotide ribosomal RNA is filed under the name Chinchilla lanigera (long-tailed chinchilla). Lineage: Eukaryota; Metazoa; Chordata; Mammalia; Rodentia; Chinchillidae. The record is from RNAcentral.